Molecule: non-coding RNA, 45 nt
Filed under: Schistosoma mansoni
Lineage: Eukaryota; Metazoa; Platyhelminthes; Trematoda; Strigeidida; Schistosomatidae
Source: RNAcentral
AUCCAGCUGACGAGUUACAAAUAGGACGAAACGCGUGUCCUAGAU